GCCCAGGUGGCGGAAUUGGUAGACGCGCUGGUCUCAAACACCAGUUCUUCGGAGUACCGGUUCGAUCCCGGUCCUGGGUA
This 80-nucleotide transfer RNA is filed under the name Cruoricaptor ignavus. It matches the Rfam family "tRNA". Rfam says of the family: Transfer RNA (tRNA) molecules are approximately 80 nucleotides in length. RNAcentral also lists the same sequence under 1 other name. The record is from Rfam by way of RNAcentral. Lineage: Bacteria; Pseudomonadati; Bacteroidota; Flavobacteriia; Flavobacteriales; Weeksellaceae.